Molecule: ribosomal RNA, 82 nt
Filed under: Treponema ruminis
Lineage: Bacteria; Pseudomonadati; Spirochaetota; Spirochaetia; Treponematales; Treponemataceae
Source: RNAcentral
CCGUUCCCGUUCCGAACACGGAAGUCAAGCACCCCUGCGCCGAUGAUACUCCGAUACGGGGGAAAGUAGGGAGCCGCCGGCU